RNAcentral lists this ribosomal RNA (580 nucleotides) under uncultured bacterium. RNAcentral describes it as "partial 16S ribosomal RNA". It matches the Rfam family "Bacterial small subunit ribosomal RNA", at positions 355 to 932 of the family's 1533-position model. The record is from RNAcentral.
UGGGGAAUUUUGGACAAUGGGGGAAACCCUGAUCCAGCCACCCCGCGUGUGCGAUGAAGGCCUUCGGGUUGUAAAGCACUUUUGGCAGGAAAGAAACGUCGCGGGUUAAUACCCCGCGAAACUGACGGUACCUGCAGAAUAAGCACCGGCUAACUACGUGCCAGCAGCCGCGGUAAUACGUAGGGUGCAAGCGUUAAUCGGAAUUACUGGGCGUAAAGCGUGCGCAGGCGGUUCGGAAAGAAAGAUGUGAAAUCCCAGAGCUUAACUUUGGAACUGCAUUUUUAACUACCGGGCUAGAGUGUGUCAGAGGGAGGUGGAAUUCCGCGUGUAGCAGUGAAAUGCGUAGAUAUGCGGAGGAACACCGAUGGCGAAGGCAGCCUCCUGGGAUAACACUGACGCUCAUGCACGAAAGCGUGGGGAGCAAACAGGAUUAGAUACCCUGGUAGUCCACGCCCUAAACGAUGUCAACUAGCUGUUGGGGGCCUUCGGGCCUUGGUAGCGCAGCUAACGCGUGAAGUUGACCGCCUGGGGAGUACGGUCGCAAGAUUAAAACUUAAAUGAAUUGACGGGGUCAUAGCUG